GCCUAGGUAGCUCGGUGGAUAUAGCGUCAAGCUGGCAACCCGGGGAUCGCGGGUUCGAAUCUCUUCCUCGUUC
RNAcentral lists this transfer RNA (73 nucleotides) under Acanthoscelides obtectus. RNAcentral's name for it is "hypothetical protein". Lineage: Eukaryota; Metazoa; Arthropoda; Insecta; Coleoptera; Chrysomelidae. The record is from RNAcentral.